GGAGGAGUGCCGGAGCGGUCGAACGGGACGGUCUCGAAAACCGUUGUGGGGGGAACCCCACCCAGGGUUCGAAUCCCUGCUCCUCCGCCA
This 90-nucleotide transfer RNA is filed under the name Pseudomonadota bacterium. Its description in RNAcentral is "Proteobacteria bacterium (marine sediment metagenome) tRNA-Ser". It matches the Rfam family "tRNA". Rfam says of the family: Transfer RNA (tRNA) molecules are approximately 80 nucleotides in length. Their secondary structure includes four short double-helical elements and three loops (D, anti-codon, and T loops). Further hydrogen bonds mediate the characteristic L-shaped molecular structure. tRNAs have two regions of fundamental functional importance: the anti-codon, which is responsible for specific mRNA codon recognition, and the 3' end, to which the tRNAs corresponding amino acid is attached (by aminoacyl-tRNA synthetases). tRNAs cope with the degeneracy of the genetic code in two manners: having more than one tRNA (with a specific anti-codon) for a particular amino acid; and 'wobble' base-pairing, i.e. permitting non-standard base-pairing at the 3rd anti-codon position. Lineage: Bacteria; Pseudomonadati; Pseudomonadota. The record is from RNAcentral. RNAcentral also lists the same sequence under 1 other name.